GAUGAACGCUGGCGGCAUGCCUAACACAUGCAAGUCGAUCGGUAAGGCUCUUCGGAGUACACGAGAGGCGGACGGCUGAGUAACGCGUAGGAACACACCCUGCAGUGAGGGAUAAGACACCUAAAGGUGUUCUAAUACCGCAUACGGUCUUCGGAUUAAAGCAUUUAUGCGCUGAAGGAGUGGCCUGCGUCAUAUUAGAUAGUUGGUGAGGUAAUGGCUCACCAAGUCGAUGAUGUGUAGCUGGUCUGAGAGGAUGAUCAGCCAGACUGGAACUGAGACACGGUCCAGACUCCUACGGGAGGCAGCAGUGAGGAAUAUUUCACAAUGAGCGAAAGCCUGAUGCAGCAAUGCCGCGUGAAGGAUGAAGGCCCUAGGGUUGUAAACUGCUUUUACCCGAGAAGAUUAUGACGGUACCUUAUGAAUAAGCGCCGGCUAACUCCGUG
RNAcentral lists this ribosomal RNA (443 nucleotides) under uncultured bacterium. RNAcentral describes it as "partial 16S ribosomal RNA". It matches the Rfam family "Bacterial small subunit ribosomal RNA", at positions 28 to 507 of the family's 1533-position model. The record is from RNAcentral.